CCUACGGGAGGCAGCAGUGGGGAAUAUUGGUCAAUGGACGCAAGUCUGACCCAGCAACGCCGCGUGAAGGAAUAAGGCUUUCCGGGUGUAAACUUCUUUUAAGGGGGAAGAGCAGAAGACGGUACCCCUUGAAUAAGCCACUGCUAACUACGGGCCAGCAGCCGCGGUAAUACGUAGGUGGCAAGCGUUGUCCGGAUUUACUGGGUGUAAAGGGCGUGCAGCCGGGAAGACAAGUCAGAUGUGAAAUCCCGCGGCUCAACCGCGGAACUGCAUUUGAAACUGUUUUUCUUGAGUAUCGGAGAGGUAAUCGGAAUUCCUGGUGUAGCGGUGAAAUGCGUAGAUAUUAGGAAGAACCCCAGUGGCGAAGGCGGAUUACUGGACGACAACUGACGCUGAGGCACGAAGGCCAGGGGAGCGAAAGGGAUUAGAUACCCGAGUAGUC
This 442-nucleotide ribosomal RNA is filed under the name uncultured bacterium. RNAcentral's name for it is "partial 16S ribosomal RNA". It matches the Rfam family "Bacterial small subunit ribosomal RNA", at positions 338 to 795 of the family's 1533-position model. The record is from RNAcentral.